This 2250-nucleotide ribosomal RNA is filed under the name Salmonella enterica subsp. enterica serovar Panama. Its description in RNAcentral is "partial 23S ribosomal RNA". It matches the Rfam family "Bacterial large subunit ribosomal RNA", at positions 711 to 2925 of the family's 2925-position model. Lineage: Bacteria; Pseudomonadati; Pseudomonadota; Gammaproteobacteria; Enterobacterales; Enterobacteriaceae. The record is from RNAcentral.
AGACCCGAAACCCGGUGAUCUAGCCAUGGGCAGGUUGAAGGUUGGGUAACACUAACUGGAGGACCGAACCGACUAAUGUUGAAAAAUUAGCGGAUGACCUGUGGCUGGGGGUGAAAGGCCAAUCAAACCGGGAGAUAGCUGGUUCUCCCCGAAAGCUAUUUAGGUAGCGCCUCGUGAAUUCAUCUCCGGGGGUAGAGCACUGUUUCGGCUAGGGGGCCAUCCCGGCUUACCAACCCGAUGCAAACUGCGAAUACCGGAGAAUGUUAUCACGGGAGACACACGGCGGGUGCUAACGUCCGUCGUGAAGAGGGAAACAACCCAGACCGCCAGCUAAGGUCCCAAAGUCAUGGUUAAGUGGGAAACGAUGUGGGAAGGCCCAGACAGCCAGGAUGUUGGCUUAGAAGCAGCCAUCAUUUAAAGAAAGCGUAAUAGCUCACUGGUCGAGUCGGCCUGCGCGGAAGAUGUAACGGGGCUAAACCAUGCACCGAAGCUGCGGCAGCGACACUCAGGUGUUGUUGGGUAGGGGAGCGUUCUGUAAGCCUGCGAAGGUGGCCUGUGAGGGUUGCUGGAGGUAUCAGAAGUGCGAAUGCUGACAUAAGUAACGAUAAAGCGGGUGAAAAGCCCGCUCGCCGGAAGACCAAGGGUUCCUGUCCAACGUUAAUCGGGGCAGGGUGAGUCGACCCCUAAGGCGAGGCCGAAAGGCGUAGUCGAUGGGAAACGGGUUAAUAUUCCCGUACUUGGUGUUACUGCGAAGGGGGGACGGAGAAGGCUAUGUUGGCCGGGCGACGGUUGUCCCGGUUUAAGCGUGUAGGUGUGUGUUCCAGGUAAAUCCGGUUCACUUUAACACUGAGGCGUGACGACGAGGCACUACGGUGCUGAAGCAACAAAUGCCCUGCUUCCAGGAAAAGCCUCUAAGCAUCAGGUAACAUCAAAUCGUACCCCAAACCGACACAGGUGGUCAGGUAGAGAAUACCAAGGCGCUUGAGAGAACUCGGGUGAAGGAACUAGGCAAAAUGGUGCCGUAACUUCGGGAGAAGGCACGCUGACAUGUAGGUGAAGUGAUUUACUCAUGGAGCUGAAGUCAGUCGAAGAUACCAGCUGGCUGCAACUGUUUAUUAAAAACACAGCACUGUGCAAACACGAAAGUGGACGUAUACGGUGUGACGCCUGCCCGGUGCCGGAAGGUUAAUUGAUGGGGUCAGCGCAAGCGAAGCUCCUGAUCGAAGCCCCGGUAAACGGCGGCCGUAACUAUAACGGUCCUAAGGUAGCGAAAUUCCUUGUCGGGUAAGUUCCGACCUGCACGAAUGGCGUAAUGAUGGCCAGGCUGUCUCCACCCGAGACUCAGUGAAAUUGAACUCGCUGUGAAGAUGCAGUGUACCCGCGGCAAGACGGAAAGACCCCGUGAACCUUUACUAUAGCUUGACACUGAACAUUGAGCCUUGAUGUGUAGGAUAGGUGGGAGGCUUUGAAGUGUGGACGCCAGUCUGCAUGGAGCCGACCUUGAAAUACCACCCUUUAAUGUUUGAUGUUCUAACGUGGACCCGUGAUCCGGGUUGCGGACAGUGUCUGGUGGGUAGUUUGACUGGGGCGGUCUCCUCCUAAAGAGUAACGGAGGAGCACGAAGGUUGGCUAAUCCUGGUCGGACAUCAGGAGGUUAGUGCAAUGGCAUAAGCCAGCUUGACUGCGAGCGUGACGGCGCGAGCAGGUGCGAAAGCAGGUCAUAGUGAUCCGGUGGUUCUGAAUGGAAGGGCCAUCGCUCAACGGAUAAAAGGUACUCCGGGGAUAACAGGCUGAUACCGCCCAAGAGUUCAUAUCGACGGCGGUGUUUGGCACCUCGAUGUCGGCUCAUCACAUCCUGGGGCUGAAGUAGGUCCCAAGGGUAUGGCUGUUCGCCAUUUAAAGUGGUACGCGAGCUGGGUUUAGAACGUCGUGAGACAGUUCGGUCCCUAUCUGCCGUGGGCGCUGGAGAACUGAGGGGGGCUGCUCCUAGUACGAGAGGACCGGAGUGGACGCAUCACUGGUGUUCGGGUUGUCAUGCCAAUGGCACUGCCCGGUAGCUAAAUGCGGAAGAGAUAAGUGCUGAAAGCAUCUAAGCACGAAACUUGCCCCGAGAUGAGUUCUCCCUGAGACUUUAGGUCUCCUGAAGGAACGUUGAAGACGACGACGUUGAUAGGCCGGGUGUGUAAGCGCAGCGAUGCGUUGAGCUAACCGGUACUAAUGAACCGUGAGGCUUAACCUUACAACGCCGAA